GACGAACGCUGGCGGCGUGCUUAACACAUGCAAGUCGAACGGUAAGGCACUUCGGGGUACACGAGUGGCGAACGGGUGAGUAACCCGUGGGUGAUCUGCCCUGCACUUCGGGAUAAGUCUGGGAAACUGGGUCUAAUACCGGGUAGGACCUCUGCCUGCAUGGGUGGUGGUGGAAAGCUUUUGCGGCGUGGGAUGGGCCCGGGGCCUAUCAGAUUGGUGGGGGGGUGAGGGCCUAGCAAGGCGACGACGGGUAGCCGGGCUGGGAGGGUGAGCGGCCACACUGGGACUGAGAUACGGCCCAGACCCCUACGGGAGGCAGGAGUGGGGAAUAUUGCACAAUGGGCGCAAGCCUGAUGCAGCGACGCCGCGUGAGGGAUGACGGCCUUCGGGUUGUAAACCACUUUCAGCACCGACGAAGCGCAAGUGACGGUAGGUGCAGAAGAAGGACCGGCCAACUACGUGCCAGCCGCCGCCGUAA
This 478-nucleotide ribosomal RNA is filed under the name uncultured bacterium. Its description in RNAcentral is "partial 16S ribosomal RNA". It matches the Rfam family "Bacterial small subunit ribosomal RNA", at positions 28 to 523 of the family's 1533-position model. The record is from RNAcentral.